CAGCCGCCGCGGGAAUACGGAGGGGGCUAGCGUUGUUCGGAAUUACUGGGCGUAAAGCGCACGUAGGCGGAUAUUUAAGUCAGGGGUGAAAUCCCGCAGCUCAACUGCGGAACUGCCUUUGAUACUGGGUAUCUUGAGUAUGGAAGAGGUUAGUGGAAUUGCGAGUGUAGAGGUGAAAUUCGUAGAUAUUCGCAGGAACACCAGUGGCGAAGGCGGCCCGCUGGACAAGUAUUGACGCUGAGGUGCGAAAGCGUGGGGAGCAAACAGGAUUAGAUACCCCCGUAGUCCCUGUCUCUUAUAC
This 301-nucleotide ribosomal RNA is filed under the name uncultured bacterium. RNAcentral's name for it is "partial 16S ribosomal RNA". It matches the Rfam family "Bacterial small subunit ribosomal RNA", at positions 509 to 807 of the family's 1533-position model. The record is from RNAcentral.